GCAGGAAUGGUGAAAUGGUAAACACGGCUGAUUUAGAAUCAGUUUCCUGAGAGUUCGAGUCUCUCUUCCUGUAC
Molecule: transfer RNA, 74 nt
Filed under: compost metagenome
Description: tRNA-Leu
Rfam family: tRNA
About the family: Transfer RNA (tRNA) molecules are approximately 80 nucleotides in length. Their secondary structure includes four short double-helical elements and three loops (D, anti-codon, and T loops). Further hydrogen bonds mediate the characteristic L-shaped molecular structure. tRNAs have two regions of fundamental functional importance: the anti-codon, which is responsible for specific mRNA codon recognition, and the 3' end, to which the tRNAs corresponding amino acid is attached (by aminoacyl-tRNA synthetases). tRNAs cope with the degeneracy of the genetic code in two manners: having more than one tRNA (with a specific anti-codon) for a particular amino acid; and 'wobble' base-pairing, i.e. permitting non-standard base-pairing at the 3rd anti-codon position.
Source: RNAcentral